Molecule: ribosomal RNA, 253 nt
Filed under: uncultured bacterium
Lineage: Bacteria
Description: partial 16S ribosomal RNA
Rfam family: Bacterial small subunit ribosomal RNA
Source: RNAcentral
UACGAAGGGGGCUAGCGUUGUUCGGAAUUACUGGGCGUAAAGGGCGCGUAGGCGGUGCCUCAAGUCAGGCGUGAAAGCCCCGGGCUCAACCCGGGAACUGCGUCCGAUACUGGGAGGCUUGAAUCCGGGAGAGGGAUGUGGAAUUCCAGGUGUAGCGGUGAAAUGCGUAGAUAUCUGGAGGAACACCGGUGGCGAAGGCGGCAUCCUGGACCGGUAUUGACGCUGAGGCGCGAAAGCCAGGGGAGCAAACGGG